Molecule: long non-coding RNA, 8898 nt
Organism: Felis catus (domestic cat)
Lineage: Eukaryota; Metazoa; Chordata; Mammalia; Carnivora; Felidae
Exons: 3
Source: RefSeq, a predicted model, not a curated record
ACCACUGGUCUAUUUUAUUCCAUUCAUUAUUCAAACGAAGAAAGUGAGGCCCAGAGGGGACGCGUUGGAGAAGAUCCUUGAAUUCAGCCAAAGGAAGUCUGAUUCUGACCCAAAUCAGUUCCCCUCUUCGGGUUUUAGUUUCCUCACCUAGACACAUAAGUACCUAAAGAUGACAACAAUAGCCCAUGUUUAUUGACCCCUAGGAUGUGAGGUCUUAAGUGUUAUGCGUUUUCCAUGGGCCAUCCCAUUUAAGAUUCAAUAACUUUAUGAGCUAUAAUUAUUCCCAUGAGAACACUAAGGCAAGGGAGGUUAAAUAAGUUGGCUGAGGUCCUUCAGUGGCAAAGGCAGAAUUUGAACCUUGGCAGUCCCUCUCCAGGGCCCGGGCACUCAGUCACCACUCGCAUGAGGACGGGAUCCAGAUGGGUCAGCUGGGAAGCGGGGCCUCAGCCCCACUGACCCCUGGGCCAGUGUUCAUGCCACUGGGUCAGGCUGUGUACUCAGCCAGGGCAGUGCGGGUCUUAGGUCGUCUGGAGUCCUCUGUACUCAGGGCUGUGACCAUGAUACUCAGCACACACCCUGGAGCAGGGAGCUUUGGGCCAGAGCGGGGCUUCCAGAAGGAGGCUUGGAAAGGCCGAGGAGAGCUUUUAGGUUUGUCAUGAGGGAAUCCAGGAAGUGUAAGGGUUCUUGACCAGGGCCGUGACUGUACAAUAUUAUAGAGAAGCCUCUCCCUGCUCCCUCCCCACCCCCAGGUGGCGUGCCCACUUAGGAAGUCCUCUAGUAGGCGGCUCAGUCCACAAAGCCAUGCAGUGACACCCCCUCCCUCACCCAGUGUGUCCCUUCCACCCUGAUUAUUCCAGCUUCUUCUCAGAGGCUUUACUGCUAGAACUAGAUGUUGGAUCUGGCUUCCUCCUCAGAAGACAAUUUAUGGCGACAUGUCGGAGACUCUGUUUUAAUGAAGUUGCAAAAGUAGGUUAAUGGGCUGUGGGUGUUUUUCAUUCCCUUCCCCCUGCCCCUUCUCCACCCCUGGGCAGAUGAAUGAUGCCUCUCCCAGCACGACUCAGAGUCGGGCUGAGGAUCUUGGGCCUGGACGUGUAUGCUCACAUAUCUCUUCCUUGGCCUCUACUGGAGCCCUCAGUACCGUCCUCCCUGCUGCUGGCAAGGUGCUCAGCACAUCUAGCCCCCAUCCCUCCUGCUGUAGCUACGGCCUGAAGAUGCUCCAAAGUCUGCCCAGCGGGAAAGAGCAUGGCAUAUUUGAGAGGCAGGAACCAGGGCAAGGGCUGGGGCAGGGCUUGGGACCCUGGGGAAGAAGGCAGCCAGAAUUAUGGCUAAUGGAUUUCUUUUGGAUGAGAGAGGCCUGGAGAUGGGAGCUUAGCUAGCAUGGACCUGGGGAAUUCUGCAAGCUGACGCUGAUAUUUUGGGGGAGGAGCUGAGUUUCUGAGGACCUCCCCCAUUGUUGUUCCUCCUUCUCUAAUUCAUUUCUGUGUCUCCUAGGGCCAUGCCUGAUACAUGGCUGCCCUUGCAAAUAGUCGCCGAGUGAAUGAUGGACACAAGAGUGAGUGGGCCUUUUUUCCCUGUCCCCAGUCUCUGGGGCUGGAACUCAUCCCCAUUCUUGCUCCCUUCCCACCUGUCUUCCCAGUGCUUGCCCCACACUGCCACCUCUGAGGACAUUUUCCAUGACUAAACUGCAAGAGUAAUUCUCCAUUUAUUUGUCUGGGUCCAACAUGAGGGUCUGUCAUCCUGGAAGAGUGGGGUCUCCAGGGGGAAGGGUCUAUCUCUUUUCCCUCCAGAUUCUCCACAUAGGGCUCUAAGAUUGGGGUUGGGGCCCAGAGCCUGGUUGUACUUGAAGGCACACAUCCGGGAGGACCAUCCUGCUGUCUAGGCCCCUCUCUCCAGUCCUUCCUCCCUAUAGAAAGCCGAGAGCACUCAUAGUCUCUGGCCUGUAGUCACUUCCAGGGGGGAAGGACCCUUCUCCACUCCCAGCCCCCUCCUGUCAACAAAUGAGGUUAUUGGUCAGGGUUUGGGAAUACCAGGAUGGGGUACAGCAGGCCUCACUUCCCUGCAACGUCAGACCAUCCCCCUUUUCUGGGCCUGGACCUCCUCUGUCCUCUCCACCCUUUGGCUUUCUUUUAUAGACUUAGCUCUCUCCCCUCCCUGGGCCUGGGAAGGAUCACAGGUUUGUGGCCCUUUAGACUAACGUUGUCGACAUCCUGAGAAGCUCUACCAUGAUGCCCAGAAAAGCCCACCAUAAUCCCGAGGCCAAUUCUUUUUUUCUUUUUCUUUUUUUCCAGACCCAGAUAGGACAUUCUUCUCGAAGACUCCAAAGACCUCACUGGACCUUGCUCCAUACUCAGUUUUGCUGUGGCAGAGGGAAGGGCAGCUACCCCUCCUGUGCCCGCGAUGUCAUGCUGAUGUGUGGAACGGGCACCGGCUCUGGAAUCGGUGUCCGGGACUGACUACCUGCGUGCACCUCUGUGAACCUCAGGUUUCGUGUCUGCAGUGCGGUGACAGUCGUAUCUCCAUGGCAGGGUGUUGUCAGGAUGAGAGAUAAUUAGCAGGGAGACACUGAGUUCCAGCGGGUUCGAUGCGCAGAAACAGACGGAAGUGAGAUACCAGGGAAGUACUGCCUCCCGAAGGGCCAUGGGAAGAGACAGCCACACUGCUUUUUUGAUGGAGGUCUUUAAAAAUGGUCUGAAUGAGGAAACCCCUGGCCGGUGGCAGAGGGCUGGACACGUCCUCUUACACUCUUGGGCCCCAGCCCUGGGGACACCGGAAGAAGGUCUGUAGAGGAGGUCAGCCUUGACCUCCUCCACUGCUCUGGCCCCAGCCUGGCCCCUGUGCCCCCUGCCCUGUGUGGACUGCUCACCCUGCCUUGGGUGAGCGCAGAGGGGCGAGGAGAGCCUUCUUGGCUUGCGGCAUAUGGUGAGAAGAUGUCCCGGGGAAUCCUCGCUCCUGAUUUAAGCGGCUCCGACAGCUUUAUGGCGCCUCCUCGAGUGAGCCCCCAACGUUGGCCGUUUAACUUUUUAGCGUCGUUUAACGCUUAGGCUCCGGCGGACAGGCAGGCCCCUCGGCCCCAGAGGCAGCGGUACUAAAUCAGGACACUCUGAGGCCCCGAUAAAUAAUUUUUACAGGGCACGCAGCCCAUAGAUCACCAGUGGGGGUGGGGGGAGAGUGGCUGUGAUAUUUCAAACGAUUGUCAUAUAUGACUACCCCGUGCUCUGAUCCAGGUCGUCCACAUGGCAGCCGGCUUCAUAACCACAGUCAGCUCCAGGGCCCUCUGCAUGGGGCAUGGGAGGAACAGUGGAGACACAGUGCUCUGGUGGCCCCACAGCCAACAGAUGACCCAUUGCCUGCCCUUGUCUACUGACGUGGUGCCCCAAUCCAAGCUUCCUCUGGCACUGGGAUAAUGGGGUUGCUGAGAGCAGGGUGGGCGAGAGGAAGAGAAAGAACUUUGUGUAGUCAAAAGGUCACUUUCGGACCACCUUCCUGGUCCCCAGACAACUCUAAGCCUGAGUGCUCCAAGGGACCUGGUGCCGGGACUGCGGCCAGAGGGAGGACAGACCAGAGUGCUGGAGUGCACAGGACCUGCGGUCAGCUCCCUGCCAUUCGCACCUCUAGGGAAAGGGGCAGGGCGGCAGGGGGACAGAGGAGAGGGGAGUGUGGAAGGACAGAGACUGGAACAGCGCAGGGAGAAGGGAGGGAGGAGGACAGAAGAGCAAAGAUGGAAAGGUGAGAGAGAGAGAGAGAAGGGGAGAUGGACAGGGACUCACCCACAGGGGACACUGCAACAGACGGGGUCUUUUCCUAAAGCCUGGUGCCAAGCUGGAGAGACAUGGUAUGGGCAGACCCGGGGCCGCAGCAUCUGUGCCCUCUGAGGGCGCCCUCCAAUUGGCUCCAGGCCCACGUUACUCUGCACCAGCUCCGCACUGCCCCCGCCCUUGCCCCUCCCUUCAGUGCCCUUGCCCCGUCCCCUCAUCUGUAAGAUCCUGGGAUUUGCGGGGACACUUAAUCCAUAUGGAGCUGAUUCAUUCCCAUCUAAAUCAUCUCCAUCAGCUUCCCUAAGAGCCCUCUGAUGUGCCAGCCGCCAUUCCUCUCCCCCGGCGGUGGCGGGCUGGGGGCUGCCAGUAAACAAACCUCAGCGGCCAUCCAUCAGUCCAGCGGAGACCAUUCGUCUCUCCAGCCCUGCUCCCCCUCCCCGCUCCUCCAGUCCCUCCAUCCGUUUGUCUGUCCCUCUUCUCAACAUCCCUCUCCUAGAACCUCCACAUCUCUGCCUCGUCCAGGGUAGGAUCUUGAGGGGUCAUGUCAGCUGCCCCCCCCCGUCUUCACGAAGACAGGAAACUUACCCCACCCCUGGCUCAGCAACAUGGAGGUUCACCGCCUUCCGAGAAGAGAGGCCUCCAAGUCUGAUGAUACUGCUACACGGCAUGGACAACCCAUACGCAGGGACGUUCUUUCCUCUGUCUAGCUUGUCUGCCUGAGAUCCACGUAGGAUCGUGUGUCUGAGCAGGAGCGAAGGUAAGGUGAUGGGGGUUUUGUACGAGCACGGGAAUCUCCAGUAUCUGUGACAUGCUCCCCCGUGGGUUAGUGUGGUAUAUGAAACGCAAGACCAGCGAAAUGGCCCUCCUUUGCCCCAUCCACCCCAGCGGAGUCCACCCAAGCACACAGUGGGUGCCCCGUGCCGAUGGCUUGCUGGCCAUAAUCUUGUUUAUGAGCUCCAGUGAGUCUAAUGGCCUUCCGUGCAUCCCAGAGAGGUGUCCUGUGGAAUGACCCAGUGGGUCUGAUUGUGGCCCUCUAGCCUAGCAGGGUUUGCAGGGAACACUAAGGAAACGUCUCUCACUUCUGCCCUCCUACCCAAACUUCUUAGCCCAGUCCUGGGGGGCCAGCUUGCGUGAACGACUCUGUAUUGGCAAUAACGGGGCUGGUGAGGAGGAGGACGAGCAGCAGGUGGGAUGGAGCCUUCCAUAGCACCGAGGUGGAACCCUCGCGUUUGGGGGGGAAGCCCUCAUGUUUACAUGCAUGAAUGAGAGAUCAGGAGGCGUUCCUUCCCAUGAUGGCCCUUCCCCUGUGAGGUUCUUCAGGUCAUUCUGGGAGCGAUGAUUCUGGGAAAGGGCCGGGGGCCCACUAGCCCCUCAGGAGAAGAUGGGGUCUGGGUCCUCUGGUCCCAUCUCAGUUUCUCCAUCCACAGCACCAGUGAGGGUUGGGGACAAGUCUACCUCUAGAGUAGGGAGUCUGGGUCAGACUCUAGUAAGCCUGCAGGGGGGAUGAUUUGGGCAUGAGUGAAAGGGUUUAGGGAGGGAGAAGUCACAGGGGAGGGGAUGAGCCUCACUUAGAUUCCACAGUAAUGAGGAGCAGGAGAGGAGGUGGGGAAGAAGAGUCUUCAGAUGCCCUAGGCAGAACUGGUGGCCCACACUGCCAUUCCCUCUGAGAGACCCAGGACACUUGGUUGAGCGUCUAGUCACCCCCCUCCCUGGCCCAGAUCAGACCAGACCAAGUAGAGAAUCCCACUGCAUGAGCUCCCCUAGCCCAUGAUUUCCCAGCACCUCUUCCCCUUGUCACCGGUCCCCUCAGGGAGCCGCUGUGAGUGCACACAGAACAUGUGGGGCUCUUCCAGCUGCUAUCCAGCUGUGAGGACCCCUGAGCAUGCCCCUGCCACCUCCCAGUGGGAGAGAAGACUCUAAUUCUAGUCCGAAAGCUGAGAAGGGCAGCGGGGAAGAGGGGCCGGAGGAGGCCAUGGGGAAGCUAACCAUGUACCCCAGUUGUGUGGACAUAUGUGUGGGAGGAGAGGGGCUUGCAGGUGUCGAGGCCCGGCUUAAGAAGGAUGGAGUGUUUCCUAGUUCUCUGAGCUAGAGACAUAUGGGGCAUAUAACACCAAGAAAAUGAAAAUUAUUGCCUAAGAGAGAGAGAGAGAGGGUGUGGGGGAACAAGAAAAAAUCCAAGCCAGGGAGACCAAUGCCAUCCACCCCCGUCACCAUCAUGACCUGACUAUCUGUGCUUGACGAGGUCAAAGUCUGAGGGAAGGGGGAGCUUGAGAACUGACCCUCAGGGCCUCCCGGAGGGGGGAAGCUAAUCCCCCAAAUGUGCAUUUCCCUGCUGUUACACAGAGCGGGGGAGCUGGGAACAGCGCUCAAAUUCUCCAGGUGGGACAGCUGCUGGGGCUUUUCUGCUUUCCUUCCCUGUGCCCUCCCUUUUCUCUGGGCUGUUGGGGGAACCAGCGAGCUCUUCUCCCACUGGCCUGUCUCCCUCGGGUCUCCCCAGGACUGGGCCCUCCUUGUCCUCUCAGUGGGUUCCACCCUGUCUUGUCUCCCCCAGACCUCUUCGUGCGAAAAGCUUCCCAUAUUUUGUCGCUCCCCACACAAUCCCCUCCUUUGAAAAUAGUCCACUUACCCAAACUUGUGGCCAAAGGGGGUCCUUUAGGAUCCACUUGUAGGCUGGUGCCUUCCUCCAGCAGGGCCUGGAGUUUCGUUCGUCUGUCCAGCCUCCUUCAUGCAACAUCCAUGUGCCCAAUGUGGGCCAUGACCUCCACGACGCAGGCAAGGAUUCUAGAAGCGUUUCUGUGCUCACGGGCACGGCUCCAGGAGUAGCCUGACUUUUAAUGGAGUUGGCAGCCCUUGUUCUGAUUCCAGGAGAGAGAAGUGUCUAGAAGGAUGCCAGUGGGCUUGGGUGUGACUGAUGCCAUUUCCUUAGGGGAGGCCACCUCCUGUGAGGUCACCCUGUGAUAGUGGUGACUGAGGCUGGACAGCAGGAGGAACUUCUAAAGACUCAAAGUUGAAGGAAAGAUUUCCAGGUUUCAGUGAAGCUUUUGGGAAAGGAUGAUGUUAACCUUUUCAGGCUCUGUGGGAGCAGAGGGGUCUGUGUGUCUGGAAGGGUUUACUUCGACCCAGGUAGGACUGACCCCAAAGAGGGAUGGCCACUUCCUCUUUCCAGAACCCUGACUCAUCCACACUCAGGGCAAUCCCACUCCCAGUUUCUUAGAUGAUUGUUUGUUCCUUGGCCAGAAAUCUGGUUCUUGAACUCUGUCUCCUAUUCUUUUCAUGAUCUGGGAACAAACCAUCUUUGGGAACCAAAUGUAGCUUCAACUUAUGGAGCCAAAAGAACAGGGAGGCAGAGUCAUUUCUAGACAGUGACACUGCAAACCUACAAGGAGCUAGGAAGGUCCCCUUAUGGGAAUGCCAUCUUCUCUUUUUUGCAUGGGAAGGGAAAGGAUGUGACCCUGGGGGGAAAGGGCACGGUUGGUGAGAGCAGAGAGUGAUACCAGCUAUAGAGCACCCCCCGCCCCCGACCUCCGCCCAGCCAGCCCGGAUCCAAACGUGCACAUGAUGGAAAUGUCUUCACAGCCAAGGGCCCCUCCUUCCCAAGGAGAAAAUCCCACAAGUGGGGAACAUCUGGAUCAAACCACAGCCAUGAAAGCACAACAUCAAACGAGGGUUUCCCAGCGACCCUCCCCGCAGGCCCUGCUCCAAGAGAAAUUGCAGAUCUUCCUGCUUGAAGCUUUUAAGUGUCACAGAACCCCCUCAAGUUUGGGAUCACUCCUUAUUCACUGGAGACAGAUGUCCCUGAGUGAGCAUGGUUGGGUUUGAUUACCCCCAGCGGGAGAGAGUGUGUGUGACCUGAUCCUGGCCGUGUUGGGGGGUAGCCCGGGAUUUAAAGCCGUGAUGAGGGGCUCCAGCAGUUCAGGCUGGGGGCUGGGGAGAGACAGGGGACAGGUGGGCCUUUUAAAACGUGCCUACAUCAAAGGUUUGAGUAGGCUCCCUUCCCAGCGUCGGCGCCUGCAGGGCAAGAAAAGUGCUGAUUUCACCACAUAACUGCACGUAGGAUGGAUCUCAGUCUGAGAACUUCUGGGGAAUGUGGAGAGGGGAGGGAGGGUGCUCCCGACAGGGGAGGAGAGGCCAAAGGGGGUUUCUCAUUUCCAAAAUAGCCUGCCUAGGCCAAGGGAAAUGGGACCAGAGUCUGCCUCCUUCCUACUCAGCCCCUGCAGAGGGAGAUCAGGAGGGAGGGGUGCGUUCUUCCAAGGUGGGGAGGCUCGAGCAGCCGCAGCAGUGGGAGGUGGGCCCGGGAUCACAGAUGGAGGUCCAGGCGGAAGCAGGGCCAUCUUCCCCAAAGGUGUGAAGGAGGAAGGACCGCAGACCGUGUAAUUCUAGGACACAGUAGGCUCUUCCCUCUCUACCGCCCAGGGUCCUUCCAGACCCAGGAAUCAGAGGGCACCCGGCCAUCAUGUUGGCAGCGUGGGAUGGACUGCGGGGCAGACGGGUUGCGGGGGAGCACCCCAGGGCCGGAAUCCCAGUUCAGAUUUGAGUAAUCUGCCCAGAGGAUGUGUGAGAGAGUGUGCUGGCAUGUGGGCACCCCACUGUGAUCUUGGUUUAAGAAGCCAAUGGUUUAUUCUUAUGGUGGAAGGUGACCUUCGGUUGGGAGGGGUAAGGAGAAGAAGGGGUACCAUUUGCUUCAUUUUAUUAGCCACCCCCCCCCAUUUCAGGAUGCCUUCCCCUCCCCUUUCCUCUCGGAGGGUUAGAAGUGUGUGUGGUGCUCUGGUGAUGCCGGGUGUACCCAUAGUGUUGGUCCCACACUGCUUCAUAAAGGUCUAUUUACAGUUUCCUUUCCCGUCUGGGCUGAGAGCACCUUGAAGGCACAAACCCCCUUGCUCUUCCUGUGUUCCCAGCGCCUGGCACAGUGCGUGUUCCUAGCACCUGGUGCAGUGCCUGGCAGAGAGCGGGUGCUCAGUGAUGUUCCCCGUUUUCCCACGGCCAUUGUUGGGAAAACAAAGGACACCCACAUGAUGAUUCUUCAGCAUCCUGGAAGCCUCUGAGGGGAUCCUAGCUCCUGGCCUACCUCCUCGGGGAGGAUUCUCGCUGACAGCUCUUUCUCCCACCUCUGAAAUUUAUUAUCCAUAAAGUUCACCUUCAUGGU